GUGGGGCCGGGGGCGGGGCGCCCGGGGGCGUGCACACCGGCGGGGACACGAGCUCCCGGCCGCGGCAACUCGCUCCAAGUUCCCUCCCUCGCUCUCUGGCGCUGGCAGUCAGAGUCCUCCCACUCGGCUCAGACGGAGCCGCCGCGGCCGCCGCCAGCUCGGCCCCCCGCUGCCUCGCGCCCCGGACCCCGCGGCCUUCCCAGUCCCUCGCUCUACCCUCCGGUGGCCCCGGCGGCCCGGCCCUCGUCCCUCGAGGGCCUCGACAAUUUUGCCUGCCGUCCCCGGAGCCCGGUGCCCGGCUCGAACUGCACAGGGGAGCGCGGACGAGCUGUCUCCAACUGGACAUCCAGGGCACCUCUCCUGUUCUUUCUGACUCUUGAAUUGGAAGCUAACAAGACUCUACAGCCUGGAAAAGAAGUAAAAGCCAAUCAUCCUGAGGCCAGUGGUGGCCAGAAGAAGAUGGAAUCAAGAGGUCAGAGUCUUGCAGUUAACAUAGAAACCAGGCUGAUCCAGGCUACAUCCUAGCCUAGGUGAGAAACUUCACAAGUGAGGUCCUAGGGAAGACCAUGAACUUGAGCAGUGAGGCUGUAGGGAGC
RNAcentral lists this long non-coding RNA (596 nucleotides) under Capra hircus (goat). Its description in RNAcentral is "lncRNA (ENSCHIG00000001386.1)". Lineage: Eukaryota; Metazoa; Chordata; Mammalia; Artiodactyla; Bovidae. The record is from RNAcentral.